This 273-nucleotide long non-coding RNA is filed under the name Panax ginseng (ginseng). RNAcentral's name for it is "long non-coding RNA (PGIN_LNC013801)". The record is from RNAcentral. Lineage: Eukaryota; Viridiplantae; Streptophyta; Magnoliopsida; Apiales; Araliaceae.
CACAGUUCUGGAUACUAGUACUUGGUCUAGGGCACUGGGUUGCGAUCGUUGCAGAUGGGUUGGUAGCAGUAAUGAAGGUUGUGGCCGUUCCAAAUUGUAGUGGGGAUAAGGAAGUAGGCGCCUGGGAUAAUGGUUGUGAGGAUUCGAGGUGUAUGGAAAGGGUGUCUAGGUUGGAGGUGGAUGCGUGUAACACAGUUGCUGCAUAUUUCUCCUUCUCCGAUCGUUGAAUUGCCUCAAGGGUGUUUGUAAUCUUCUGCGCUAUUUCUUCACUGG